This 253-nucleotide ribosomal RNA is filed under the name uncultured bacterium. RNAcentral's name for it is "partial 16S ribosomal RNA". It matches the Rfam family "Bacterial small subunit ribosomal RNA", at positions 524 to 776 of the family's 1533-position model. The record is from RNAcentral.
UACGUAGGGGGCAAGCGUUGUCCGGAAUCAUUGGGCGUAAAGCGCGUGUAGGCGGCCAGAAAAGUCCGCUGUGAAAACUCGAGGCUCAACUUCGAGCUGUCGGUGGAAACUUUCUGGCUAGAGUCCGGAAGAGGAGAAUGGAAUUCCUGGUGUAGCGGUGAAAUGCGCAGAUAUCAGGAAGAACACCCGUGGCGAAGGCGGCUCUCUGGUACGGAACUGACGCUGAGACGCGAAAGCGUGGGGAGCGAACAGG